GCGUUGUCCGGAUUUACUGGGUGUAAAGGGCGUGCAGCCGGGAAUGCAAGUCAGAUGUGAAAUCCAUGGGCUUAACCCAUGAACUGCAUUUGAAACUGUAUUUCUUGAGUACUGGAGAGGCAAUCGGAAUUCCUAGUGUAGCGGUGAAAUGCGUAGAUAUUAGGAGGAACACCAGUGGCGAAGGCGGAUUGCUGGACAGCAACUGACGGUGAGGCGCGAAAGUGUGGGGAGCAAACAGGAUUAGAUACCCUGGUAGUCCACACUGUAAACGAUGAAUACUAGGUGUGCGGGGACUGACCCCCUGCGUGCCGCAGUUAACACAAUAAGUAUUCCACCUGGGGAGUACGAUCGCAAGGUG
This 358-nucleotide ribosomal RNA is filed under the name uncultured Bacillota bacterium. Its description in RNAcentral is "bacterial SSU rRNA". It matches the Rfam family "Bacterial small subunit ribosomal RNA", at positions 538 to 895 of the family's 1533-position model. Lineage: Bacteria; Bacillati; Bacillota. The record is from RNAcentral.